UUACUCUGGUUUCCCUACAAAACGUAUAAAUCUUUCGCCUUUUACUAAAGAUUUCCGUGGAGGGGAACACUCAAAUGAGUCUGAAAUUAUUUUUGACACCCUACGUCCGUAGGGU
This is a non-coding RNA of Papilio machaon (common yellow swallowtail), 115 nucleotides long. Lineage: Eukaryota; Metazoa; Arthropoda; Insecta; Lepidoptera; Papilionidae. The record is from Rfam.